AGUGUGACAGUAAGCCGAUCAGUGAGGCGGUGACCGAGUACCUGGAGAGCAGGAAGAAGUAUGAAGACAAAAGGAAGCAGAAACUGAAGAAAGGCUCUGGCCGAGAGUCUCAGACACUCGCUCUUUUGGAACGCUUCAAAUCCAAACUAUCAUCUGCGAUUUCGGAGUCUCCUAGCGUUCCCAUGGAAGACGUCGAGGAACUUGGCGAGGAUGACGAUAAGGGCUGGAUGGCCCAUGUUCUGAACUUUGAUGAACAAAACAGAAAGGUAAAAGAUGCCAAUAUGCAGGACGGAGACACGUUUGAGAUCUAUGAUCCACGCAACCCCGUCAACAAGAGGAGACGAGAGGAGAGCAAAAAACUGAUGAAAGAGAAGAAAGCCAGGAGAUGAGACUGCAGCUGCCCGUCUGGAGUGACUCCUGACGUUUAAAAAGGGGUGGGAAAGCAUUUCUAGCUGAGAAGAAUCAUAUUCACUGUGUGUGGGAGAUAUCUGCAAACUCUUUAUUGAAAAGACAUUCAUUUCUGUCUACUAAUAAUGAAGAUGGCAAGCGUUUAUUGUUUUUAACCCAUAGAGGAAAGGGAACGCCAUCUUCUUAUUCCUCAGUGAAUUUUUUGCAUCUUUCCGCAAAAUAAACCUCUUCAUGAACACGUUUAAUCAUUCUCUCGAUGACAGUGUAAGUUCUUAUCAUGUUAAUAAAAUUCAUUAUUUCUGAUGUUUAAGCAUUGUUGUUUACUUUGUGACCUAACUAUUAAAUUGAUUAAAUUCACGGUCAAGCUGCACAGGCCAACUAAUCUUAAAAAUCAGUCAUAGUAACUUAACUGAAGCCAAUACAGAUAGAAGGUAAGGUGGCCAUUAACUGAUAUACGCAAAAGCAUGUAAAAACAUGCAUUGAUCCAAUGAUAUAAACAAAUUUAUUGAAUCUAUUACAUAAUUGAAUAAUUGAUCAUGAUUAAAA
Long non-coding RNA from Cyprinus carpio (common carp), 954 nucleotides. RefSeq lists it as uncharacterized. The transcript is spliced from 3 exons. Lineage: Eukaryota; Metazoa; Chordata; Actinopteri; Cypriniformes; Cyprinidae. The record is from RefSeq and is a predicted model, not a curated record.